RNAcentral lists this ribosomal RNA (482 nucleotides) under uncultured bacterium. RNAcentral describes it as "partial 16S ribosomal RNA". It matches the Rfam family "Bacterial small subunit ribosomal RNA", at positions 30 to 507 of the family's 1533-position model. The record is from RNAcentral.
AUUGAACGCUGGCGGCAUGCUUUACACAUGCAAGUCGAACGGUAACAGGCUGCAAGGUGCUGACGAGUGGCGAACGGGUGGGUAAUGCAGCGGAACGUGCCCAGUCGUGGGUGAUAACUCUUCGAAAGAAUAGCUAAUACCGCAUACGAUCUAUGGAUGAAAUCGGGUGACGGUAAGGCCUCGCGCGAUUGGAUCGGCCGAUGUCAGAUUAGGUAGUUGGUGGGGUAAAGGCUCACCAAGCCAACGAUCUGUAGCUGGUCUGAGAGGAGGACCAGUCACACUAGAACUGAGACACGGCCCAGACUCAUACGGGAGGCAGCAGUGGGGAAUGUUGGACAAUGGGCGGAAGGCUGAUCCAGCAAUGCCGCGUGGAGGAAGAAGGCCUUCGGGUUGUAAACUGCUUCUGUACGGGAAGAAACGGAUCGGGUUAAUCGCGGGAGCUAAUGACGGUACCGUAAGAAUAAGCACCGGCUAACUACGUG